Molecule: ribosomal RNA, 482 nt
Filed under: uncultured bacterium
Lineage: Bacteria
Description: partial 16S ribosomal RNA
Rfam family: Bacterial small subunit ribosomal RNA
Source: RNAcentral
GACGAACGCUGGCGGCGUGCUUAACACAUGCAAGUCGAACGCUGAAGCUCAGCUUGCUGGGUGGAUGAGUGGCGAACGGGUGAGUAACACGUGAGUAACCUGCCCUCUUCUUUGGGAUAACGCCCGGAAACGGGUGCUAAUACUGGAUAUUCACUGAUUCUCGCAUGGGGGUUGGUGGAAAGGUUUUUUCUGGUGGGGGAUGGGCUCGCGGCCUAUCAGCUUGUUGGUGGGGUGAUGGCCUACCAAGGCUUUGACGGGUAGCCGGCCUGAGAGGGUGGCCGGUCACAUUGGGACUGAGAUACGGCCCAGACUCCUACGGGAGGCAGCAGUGGGGAAUAUUGCACAAUGGGCGAAAGCCUGAUGCAGCGACGCCGCGUGAGGGAUGGAGGCCUUCGGGUUGUAAACCUCUUUCGCUCAUGGUCAAGCCGCAGCUUUGGGUUGUGGUGAGGGUAGUGGGUAAAGAAGCGCCGGCUAACUACGUG